This 255-nucleotide ribosomal RNA is filed under the name uncultured bacterium. RNAcentral's name for it is "partial small subunit ribosomal RNA". It matches the Rfam family "Bacterial small subunit ribosomal RNA", at positions 26 to 285 of the family's 1533-position model. The record is from RNAcentral.
AGGACGAACGCUGGCGGCGUGCUUAACACAUGCAAGUCGAGCGGAAAGGCCCUUCGGGGUACUCGAGCGGCGAACGGGUGAGUAACACGUGAGUAACCUGCCCUUAGCUCUGGGAUAGCUCCGGGAAACCGGAAUUAAUACCGGAUAUUACACCGGCUGGCAUCGGCUGGUGUGGAAAGAUUUAUCGGCUAAGGAUGGACUCGCGGCCUAUCAGCUUGUUGGUGGGGUAGAAGCCUACCAAGGCGACGACGGGUA